This 199-nucleotide long non-coding RNA is filed under the name Nicotiana benthamiana. RNAcentral describes it as "long non-coding RNA (NBEN_LNC010171)". Lineage: Eukaryota; Viridiplantae; Streptophyta; Magnoliopsida; Solanales; Solanaceae. The record is from RNAcentral.
ACGCUUAUGUAUAAUAAGACUCGGGACAAUUUAGCAGAACAUAUGUUGUAGCUGACUUUAGGUCCAUCUCAGUCAAAAAUCGAGUUGGACUAUGUUUUGGACCGCCUUUUCUAGGUUGCUUGAAUAUGGAAAAGGUUGGUGCCAAUGGAUCAGCAUUGCCACCAUCAUCUUGCCGAUAGGUCUAUUUAUUAAUAAUGGC